This 253-nucleotide ribosomal RNA is filed under the name uncultured bacterium. RNAcentral's name for it is "partial 16S ribosomal RNA". It matches the Rfam family "Bacterial small subunit ribosomal RNA", at positions 524 to 776 of the family's 1533-position model. The record is from RNAcentral.
UACGAAGGGGGCUAGCGUUGUUCGGAAUUACUGGGCGUAAAGCGCACGUAGGCGGAUAUUUAAGUCGGGGGUGAAAUCCCGGGGCUCAACCCCGGAACUGCCUUCGAUACUGGGUAUCUUGAGUUCGGAAGAGGUGAGUGGAAUUGCGAGUGUAGAGGUGAAAUUCGUAGAUAUUGGGAAGAACACCGGUGGCGAAGGCGGCGACCUGGUCCGAUACUGACGCUGAGGCGCGAAAGCGUGGGGAGCAAACAGG